This 253-nucleotide ribosomal RNA is filed under the name uncultured bacterium. RNAcentral describes it as "partial 16S ribosomal RNA". It matches the Rfam family "Bacterial small subunit ribosomal RNA", at positions 524 to 776 of the family's 1533-position model. The record is from RNAcentral.
UACAGAGGGUGCGAGCGUUGUCCGGAAUCACUGGGCGUGAAGGGCGCGUAGGUGGCGCAACAAGUCAGUGGUGAAAGCUCGACGCUCAACGUCGAGUCGGCCACUGAGACUGUUGGGCUUGAGCACUGUAGAGGCUAAUGGAAUUCCGGGUGUAGCGGUGGAAUGCGUAGAGAUCCGGAAGAACACCGGUGGCGAAGGCGGUUAGCUGGGCAGUUGCUGACACUGAGGCGCGACAGCGUGGGGAGCAAACAGG